GACUCCUUGGCGCUACGGGAGCGCUCUGCCUCCCGAUCAGAAGGUUGCGUGUUCAAAUCACGUCGGGGUCA
This 71-nucleotide transfer RNA is filed under the name Toxocara canis (dog roundworm). It matches the Rfam family "tRNA". Rfam says of the family: Transfer RNA (tRNA) molecules are approximately 80 nucleotides in length. The record is from Rfam by way of RNAcentral. Lineage: Eukaryota; Metazoa; Nematoda; Chromadorea; Rhabditida; Toxocaridae.